This 2767-nucleotide long non-coding RNA is filed under the name Equus caballus (horse). Its description in RNAcentral is "lncRNA (ENSECAG00000057424.1)". Lineage: Eukaryota; Metazoa; Chordata; Mammalia; Perissodactyla; Equidae. The record is from RNAcentral.
GGAUGAGGCUCGGGCACCCCCGCCCCCACCGCCCGGCCACCCCGGCCCGGGGCGCCCUCCUCCCCUGAGCUGGCGGGUUGUGUAUUUCCUCUUGUGCACGGAUGCCAAUCCCCAAGGUGGUGGCGAGCCAAACGGGGCUGCCGCGGGCGGCUGGAGCUGGACACUGUUUGUAACUGAAACCCUGGCCUGCGGCUUUGGCCACCUGCUCCUGAAACCAGCCCGCUGUUUCCGCCCACUGAGACGCUCACAAGUGCAAAGACAGCCCGCGGAGUGGGAGGAAAUACUUGCAAAUCAUGAUCUGACAAGGGAUUCACGUGCAGCACAGAUAAAGAAUCAAUAACGGAAAGAGACAUAACCCGAUGAAAACCAAGCAAAGGGUUUGAGUGGACAUUUCUGCAAAGGGACGCGUGGCCCAUAGGCGCCUGCGAAGUUCAGGGGACCAGUGAGACCAGGGCCCCGCCCACGCGGCAGGCCGCCCACCCAAGAGGGCAGACAGAGGCGCCGAUGAGGACGCGGGGACUGGAACCCACGCCCCUGCCCAGCCGCCGCCCAGUGUGCGGCCAAGCGGAACACUGUCUGGCGGCAACUCAGUCAGGUGAACCCAGGACGACCCCGUGACCGGCAGUCCCUCUCCUGGGGCCAGACCUGGAGAUCUGAAAACAGGCGUGCACGCCAAAACCUGUACACGGUGCUCACGGCAGCACGGCUGACACUCGCCAAGGGGGUGGCAACCCAAGUGUCCCUGGCAGAACAGACACAAAGGCCACAUGGCGCACGAUCCCAUUUAUACGAAACGUCCAGAACAGGCAAAGCACAGACAGAAGCACGUGGGUGGGUGCCGGGGCUGGGGAGGCGGGCGGGGAGGGGGAUGAUGGAAAUGUUCCAGAACUAGGUAGAGAUGGUUGCACAACAUGCACAAGAUGAAUGCACUAAAUGCCACCGAAUUGUUUACUGUAAAGGGGUGAAUUGCAUGGUAAGUGAAUAUAUCUUUUAAAAAAAGAGAAGGGACAGGCGAGGGUGCAGAAGUGGGGCAGGCGUGCCCGUGUCAUGCCCUGCAGUGCACUGGCUCAGGGGCGGGGGCAGAGGCAGAGAAAACAGCUCUUUCUGACCAAACCCAGAGGCUGCUGGACAGACAGAGGGGGAAGGUAUCCGGGGAGAUAAACUGAGGCAGCCUGCCUCCCGGAUGGAGACAUGCUUCCCACUUCUUGGUGGGAGCUGGGGUGAAGAGGAGUCAGACCAGGAGAGCUAGAGAUGGGGGUGUGGGAGGGGGGCGGCGAGGGCUCUGGAGAGGCCGCCAGACUGGGACCCUACUGCCACCCGGGCUGCGGCACCCGCGCAGGCUGAGCCGCAGCAGGAAGCAUCUGUGAACAGCUCACGCCAGGCCCGGCUCUCCGGCUCCAUGACAGCGCCCCCUGCAGCGGGAGAACAGACCCAUAGGCCCCCAGCCCCCGUGGGCUUGACUCCAUCCCCCGUCACCCACUCCGCAGCAACCGCACCUGCCUCUCUUCACAGUCUUGGCCCGAGCACCACCUCUUCCAGGAAGCCCUCCCUCACCCACUGUUCUUCACGCUUUCACUUGUCACUCUCCCAGGUUUAUCUGUGGGAUGGUUGGAUUAGCGUCUGCCUUCCCCACCCGACCAGAAGCCCCUCAUGAUGGGACCGAUCCUGACCUGUGUGGGACUGGGCUUGGUAUACAGUAGGUGCUCAACGCUGACCUUCCGAAUCAAUGAAUGAACGAAGCUGUGAAACGGAGACUACCACAGUCUGAACUCCUGGAGCUGUGGGGAGCAGCUGAGGGACUGCCGCUCAGAGGAGCCCCAAAUACUGAGUACACAGCAGGAGCUCAGUAUCACUGGCCCAGAGCUCUGCUAAGCAGGACUGCUCAACCCAUGAGGUAGGGACCCAACCAGUGCUCUGAACUUUUUCUUUUACAUAUGGGCAAGCGGAAGCCCAGAGAGGAACUCCUGUGGGUCAUUUCCUGGCAGCAGAAACAGAACUCAAAGUGGCUUCAACAAAAAGGAAUCUGAUGAAAAAGAAAAUCCCAGGUGGUGGGCUUCAGGCAUGGCUGCAUCCAGGGACUAGGGCUCCUUUUCUCUGUACUGGUGUCCUCCCUGCAGCUUCUCUCCAGGCAGGCUCAGUCUUCUCCCAGUAGAAACAGGGUGCCCAUUUUCCCCACUCACUUCAGCAGCACCCCAAGCCCUGCUCAGUGAAGGCCUAACUCCAACCCCUUGACCAGAGGGCUGUGCCUGGAGGCCUCCUCCAAGGGCUGGAGCCCAGCCGAAAGGAUGCGGAGAGCGAUCUUCAAGGGAGGGCACGCCGGAUGGCAGCGUCAGCAAACGCUUGAGCAAACGCGAGGAGGUGGCAACUCCAAGAGAGGAGCAUUUGCGGAGCAGCCAGCCCCGCGGCAGCUAAAGCACCUGGGCCAUGGCCUCAGUUUCCCCACCUGGAAGCAGAGGGCAAACGGAGGCUCCCCAAGCGGCGGGGCCGGGACCACUGCCCCCUGGCCUUGUCGGCUGCCAGACCUCCCUCACCCAGAGGCCUGUCUCUUUUGCCACAAAAUUCAGCAUCUCUUGGUUUCAAUCUCAGCCUCUCCCCCUCCCCCUGCCCUCGUCGAAAACCGGAAAAGUCUGUUUUGCAAACUCCGUGGGAGGCGGAAGGGGCGCGGGGCUGCCUGGGAGAGGCGCGCCGCUGCCGCCCCCUGGUGGCCGUGGGGGAACGCGCGGCAACUCGCUUAAGGACGGGGCCGGGCGCGCGGGGCGGGGCCGGG